AAGUACUACACAUGAAAAAUCUACUGAAUUAUUUAGUUUUAUUAUAUACUUCAUAUUACAUCAAAUAACAUUUUCAGGAAGACUAUAAAUAAACAAUGUGAUAAUUUUGAAACAAAAUAGUUCUUACCUGGUUAUAAUCAGUGUCAUUUUGUUGAUCAACUAAAGACCAUAUUCUCUUUGGAGCUUUAAAAUAGUAAGCAGACUUUAAAAUAAUAAGUAAACAAUAAUUAAUGCUGAUUUAAUCUGUCUGAGAUUUCACAGAAAACAAUGAACCAGACAUGCGACAAUGUUAGACAGUAGACAAUCACGUACGCUUUCUAAGGAACGCGACUCCUAUCCAUAUGUUUCCUGAUUGAUGGUUUUCUACCAAGCUUUACUGAACCUCACAGUUACACAUGAGACCACACAUAAGAAAGACUAUGAAAGUUUUCAUCUUGCUUGUAUUUCUGUUGAUAAAUUCUGUCUCAGCUCAACCACUAUUGGAUGUGAUGUUGGACGGACGUGGAAUGGAAGAUGUAGCCCUGGUGCACCUGAUGUACAAGAUGGGUGGGGACCAUCGCAAAACCUGAUUGAAGAUAGAAGAAGAUCUGGGGACCAUCAUGAGUGACAUGAUUAUAACUUCUAAGCACACUGUUAGUGUUUACUAAACAAACACAAUUAAAGAGAAUAAAGAAAAACAGUAACACAA
Ciona intestinalis (vase tunicate) is the source of this 688-nucleotide non-coding RNA. The record is from RefSeq and is a predicted model, not a curated record. NCBI's taxonomy places the organism in Eukaryota, Metazoa, Chordata, Ascidiacea, Phlebobranchia, Cionidae.